This 446-nucleotide ribosomal RNA is filed under the name uncultured bacterium. RNAcentral describes it as "partial 16S ribosomal RNA". It matches the Rfam family "Bacterial small subunit ribosomal RNA", at positions 338 to 795 of the family's 1533-position model. The record is from RNAcentral.
CCUACGGGUGGCAGCAGUCGAGAAUCAUUCACAAUGGGGGAAACCCUGAUGGUGCGACGCCGCGUGGGGGAAUGAAGGUCUUCGGAUUGUAAACCCCUGUCAUGUGGGAGCAAAUCAAAAAGAUAGUACCACAAGAGGACGAGACGGCUAACUCUGUGACAGCAGCCGCGGUAAUACAGAGGGCUCAAGCGUUGUUCGGAAUCACUGGGCGUAAAGCGUGCGUAGGCUGUUUCGUAAGUCGUGGGUGAAAGGCGCGGGCCCAACCCGCGGAGGGCACAUGAUACUGCGAGACUAGAGUAAUGGAGGGGGAACCGGAAUGCUCGGUGUAGCAGUGAAAUGCGUAGAUAUCGCGAGGAACACUCGUGGCGAAGGCGGGUUCCUGGACAUUAACUGACGCUGAGGCACGAAGGCCAGGGGAGCGAAAGGGAUUAGAUACCCCUGUAGUC